Molecule: ribosomal RNA, 253 nt
Filed under: uncultured bacterium
Lineage: Bacteria
Description: partial 16S ribosomal RNA
Rfam family: Bacterial small subunit ribosomal RNA
Source: RNAcentral
UACAGAGGUCUCAAGCGUUGUUCGGAUUCAUUGGGCGUAAAGGGUGCGUAGGCGGCGCGGUAAGUCGGGUGUGAAAUCUCGGAGCUUAACUCCGAAACUGCAUUCGAUACUGCCGUGCUUGAGGACUGGAGAGGAGACUGGAAUUUACGGUGUAGCGGUGAAAUGCGCAGAUAUCGGGAGGAACACCGGUGGCGAAGGAGGUUCUCUGGGCCUGACCUGACGCUGAGGAGCGAAAGCGUGGGGAGCGAACAGG